CUUUAAUGCCAUUCAUGGAAGGAGGAGAACGGAGGUGGAGGUGGGAAAGGCUUUAUUGAGGUACCGGUACCCCCGCAUGCGGUGGUGCGGGCGCGGGAUGCGGGGCAGGCGGUACUCGAUGUGCUGCCCCAGCUGCUGCUCCAUGCGCAGGGAGAAGCCAGUGCAGACAAAGAGCACCUCGAAGCCGCUGUAGAUGAAGCUGGGGAAGAGGUGACGCAGGCGAUAGUCCCUCAUGUGCUUGAAGGGCAGCUGGAAGAUGUUCCCCCAACCGAUGCUGCGCAGGUCGAUCUCCUCCGUGGGUCGAUAGGCUGCACCACAGAGCACCAGGACCUGUGUAUGGGGGGUCAUGGAGCACAUCAGCCCCACUGGGAUGGUUUGGGGUGCAAAGGAGCUCAGCAUCAUCUGGCACCAGGACCUGUGUAUGGGGGGUCAUGGAGCACAUCAGC
This is a long non-coding RNA of Melopsittacus undulatus (budgerigar), 446 nucleotides long. RefSeq lists it as uncharacterized. NCBI's taxonomy places the organism in Eukaryota, Metazoa, Chordata, Aves, Psittaciformes, Psittaculidae. The record is from RefSeq and is a predicted model, not a curated record. The transcript has 3 exons.